GCCCAAUAUCCUUUCCUUCAUGUUCUCGUCUAAGCCCUCCUCCUCCAGAAACUUCUCAACAACUUUGGUGUCCUCAGUACCAUCCUUGGUGUACUUGUAAUCUCCAAUAUCGUGAAGAAGAGCAGCAAGUUCCACAAUUUCUAGCCUGUGCUCCUCAAGGCCCUCCUCCUUGGCGAGGGAAAGGGCGAGGUCCCGGACCCUGAAGGCGUGGGCGGCGUCGU
RNAcentral lists this unclassified non-coding RNA (221 nucleotides) under Hevea brasiliensis (rubber tree). Lineage: Eukaryota; Viridiplantae; Streptophyta; Magnoliopsida; Malpighiales; Euphorbiaceae. The record is from RNAcentral.